RNAcentral lists this ribosomal RNA (254 nucleotides) under uncultured bacterium. Its description in RNAcentral is "partial 16S ribosomal RNA". It matches the Rfam family "Bacterial small subunit ribosomal RNA", at positions 524 to 776 of the family's 1533-position model. The record is from RNAcentral.
UACAGAGGCCCCAAGCAUUAUCCGGAAUCACUGGGCGUAAAGGGUGUGCAGGCGGCUUUGUUAGUCCUUCGUAAAAGCAUCGGGGCUCAACCCCGGUAAUGCGGUGGAAACGGCAAAGCUCGAGGACGCGAGAGGUAGAGGGAACUCAUGGUGUAGGGGUGAAAUCCGUUGAUAUCAUGGGGAACACCAAAUGCGAAGGCACUCUACUGGCGCGCUCCUGACGCUCAUACACGAAAGCGUGGGAAUCGAACGGG